GCAGCAUGAAAAAAGUCACAAAUAGCGUGAAUGGAGGGAUGACGGGAAGAACCCUUCGCAGUGAAUAUUGAGGCCCUCAACACGGGCCUAUUGCUGAAGCCCUGGGAGUCCAUGGGGGUUGGUGAGGCGCAAGUGAGCACAAACUUUCAGAGGAGUCCUGCAGUCUGGAGGAGUCCUUGAAGAAACCCGACUGUCAUGGAAACUAAGAAUGGAACGGGUAUGGGGGCCCAGCGUGAAGUGUCGGGAGGAAGUGGUCAGGGUACUAGAUGGUACAAGUGGAGAAUCAGUGAGCACAGAGAGAUUCCAUUGGCGAGUGAACUGGGAGGUGUUCCGUCCUCUUCAAUGAACAAAGAGGCACUACAGACACUGGACCCUAAGGCUCCAAAGGUUGGCUCCUGGCCUGGUCAGUCACAGAUAACUGAGCAGCAGGACAAAGCCGAGGAGGAAAAUGCAGCUUGAGGUGCAGCUUGCUGAUGCUCCAACAGAAUGGUUCCACAGCAACCUCACUCCAGAUCACCCAGGAACAUAUAAG
RNAcentral lists this long non-coding RNA (532 nucleotides) under Cavia porcellus (domestic guinea pig). RNAcentral's name for it is "lncRNA (ENSCPOG00000032978.1)". The record is from RNAcentral. Lineage: Eukaryota; Metazoa; Chordata; Mammalia; Rodentia; Caviidae.